CGGUGAGGUAGAGGUUGCGGCUUUUAUCAGUACUUUGCACGAGAAUUUGGAGUUUCUUUGAUGACUGCAAGGGAAAGGAAAAGUCGCCGAAGUUUGUUCGCCCGCUCCAGGCGGACAAGCUGGGGCUGAUUCCAAACAGGGUCAGCACUGUCACGUUUGUUCUUUGCCCAGACAAACGUGGUGCGCUAUCUUGCGG
This 196-nucleotide non-coding RNA is filed under the name Thermoactinomyces sp. RNAcentral's name for it is "Lysine sequence". It matches the Rfam family "Lysine riboswitch aptamer". Rfam says of the family: Riboswitches are metabolite binding domains within certain messenger RNAs that serve as precision sensors for their corresponding targets. The record is from RNAcentral. Lineage: Bacteria; Bacillati; Bacillota; Bacilli; Caryophanales; Thermoactinomycetaceae.